GAGGGGAGGCCCCUCGGAACCGGCUUACAGGAGCAGACUUCAAACUAUCUCAAGCUGCUAUGGUCAAAAGCCAUGGUGGUGAGCGUUGAGGAAAAGGCAUGGCAAAGACUGUGUCAGGU
Non-coding RNA from Desulfobacteraceae bacterium 4572_187, 119 nucleotides. NCBI's taxonomy places the organism in Bacteria, Pseudomonadati, Thermodesulfobacteriota, Desulfobacteria, Desulfobacterales, Desulfobacteraceae. The record is from Rfam.